This 497-nucleotide ribosomal RNA is filed under the name uncultured bacterium. RNAcentral's name for it is "partial 16S ribosomal RNA". It matches the Rfam family "Bacterial small subunit ribosomal RNA", at positions 30 to 523 of the family's 1533-position model. The record is from RNAcentral.
AUUGAACGCUGGCGGCAUGCCUUACACAUGCAAGUCGAACGGUAACAGGUCUUCGGAUGCUGACGAGUGGCGAACGGGUGAGUAAUACAUCGGAACGUGCCUAGUAGUGGGGGAUAACUACUCGAAAGAGUGGCUAAUACCGCAUGAGAUCUACGGAUGAAAGCAGGGGAUCGCAAGACCUUGUGCUACUAAAUCGGCCGAUGCAGAUUAGGUAGUUGGUGGGAUAAAAGCUUACCAAGCCGACGAUCUGUAGCUGGUCUGAGAGGACGAUCAGCCACACUGGGACUGAGACACAGCCCAGACUCCUACGGGAGGCAGCAGUGGGGAAUUUUGGACAAUGGGCGCAAGCCUGAUCCAGCAAUGCCGCGUGCAGGAUGAAGGCCUUCGGGUUGUAAACUGCUUUUGUACGGAACGAAAAGCCCUGGGUUAAUACCCUGGGGUCAUGACGGUACCGUAAGAAUAAGCACCGGCUAACUACGUGCCAGCAGCCGCGGUAA